RNAcentral lists this transfer RNA (94 nucleotides) under Ascodesmis nigricans. It matches the Rfam family "tRNA". From Rfam's summary of the family: Transfer RNA (tRNA) molecules are approximately 80 nucleotides in length. Their secondary structure includes four short double-helical elements and three loops (D, anti-codon, and T loops). Lineage: Eukaryota; Fungi; Ascomycota; Pezizomycetes; Pezizales; Ascodesmidaceae. The record is from Rfam by way of RNAcentral.
GUCAAGGUGGUGGAGUGGUUAACACGUUCGCCUGCUAUCCUCAGCAGUGCAGCGGAUGCCUUCGGGCGCGCAGGUUCGAAUCCUGUCCUUGACG